RNAcentral lists this long non-coding RNA (245 nucleotides) under Elaeis guineensis (African oil palm). RNAcentral's name for it is "long non-coding RNA (EGUI_LNC019905)". Lineage: Eukaryota; Viridiplantae; Streptophyta; Magnoliopsida; Arecales; Arecaceae. The record is from RNAcentral.
GGCAAAGAGUUGCCUACGCAUCGGUGUGCAUGUUACCAAUAACUAUUAGGUGAGGUGCAUGUCAUCGGUGGGACCACAGCACCCACUAGGAAUCCUUUAUCGCGUUAGGAUUUUUGUUUCCUUCCAAAGGAGUGGAGGGAUCCGAAAAAUUAAUGGGAGUCAUUAUUUAAUCUUAAAGUCUUUAGAAGUAAAUUAAAAUAUUAAGUACAAAAGUCUAACUUGAAUCUCUACUCUCGCAGUUAAAC